Molecule: ribosomal RNA, 443 nt
Filed under: uncultured bacterium
Lineage: Bacteria
Description: partial 16S ribosomal RNA
Rfam family: Bacterial small subunit ribosomal RNA
Source: RNAcentral
GAUGAACGCUGGCGGCAUGCCUAACACAUGCCAGUCGAUCGGUAAGGCUCUUCGGAGUACACGAGAGGCGGACGGCUGAGUAACGCGUAGGAACACACCCUGCAGUGAGGGAUAAGACACCGAAAGGUGUUCUAAUACCGCAUACGGUCUUCGGAUUAAAGCAUUUAUGCGCUGAAGGAGUGGCCUGCGUCAUAUUAGAUAGUUGGUGAGGUAAUGGCUCACCAAGUCGAUGAUGUGUAGCUGGUCUGAGAGGAUGAUCAGCCAGACUGGAACUGAGACACGGUCCAGACUCCUACGGGAGGCAGCAGUGAGGAAUAUUGCACAAUGAGCGAAAGCUUGAUGGAGCAAUGCCGCGUGCAGGAUGAAGGCCCUCGGGUUGUAAACUGCUUUUAUAAGAGAAGAUUAUGACGGUAACUUAUGAAUAAGGGACGGCUAACUACGUG